Long non-coding RNA from Helianthus annuus (common sunflower), 549 nucleotides. RefSeq lists it as uncharacterized. The record is from RefSeq and is a predicted model, not a curated record. The transcript is spliced from 3 exons. NCBI's taxonomy places the organism in Eukaryota, Viridiplantae, Streptophyta, Magnoliopsida, Asterales, Asteraceae.
CAGGUGGCCGUUUAUGGAUUACUAAAAGCCGCGACUGAGGUUGAAUUAUUCCUAUCUCACAAACGUUGCAACACUCCGGUAUAUGAAAUUUUGUACUCGAAGACAUUAUUACUCGGGGAAUUCUUAGAAAGACAACUGAAAGCGAAGAGCCCGAAAUUGGUGCAGUGGUUCAGAAGGGUGGAACUUCCGCGUAUUGCAGGAUUAUUCAUUCCACUAUUUCAAAAAUGGUCUGUCGAAUACGCCGGAAGUGGUGUUGCAGGGGUUAUUCUUGCUAUAAGUUGCGGUACCGCGGUGAGAAAGUUGGGCUCGACACGUAUAUCUUGUCCUGAAUUUACUGCAUCGGUUGAUGAUGCACUAGUCGAACUUAAGGACCUAUCGCGCGAUCUUGUAUCCAUUGAUAAGUUGUAUCACUUAUCAACCGAAGCAGGUUUUGAACCCGAUUUCUUGUCGUACUUUGGUAAAAAGAUUCUACCGAGUAAAAAUAUAGAAGAUCUUGAAUUUUGGAUUGGGCUUGUUCAAGAAAAACUUUGUGUAGCAUUUCAUAGAGAA